UACGUAGGGGGCAAGCGUUGUCCGGAAUUAUUGGGCGUAAAGAGCUCGCAGGCGGUCUAUCACGUCGGAUGUGAAACCCUGAGGCUCAACCUCAGGCCCGCAUUCGAUACGGGCAGACUAGAGUGUGGUAGGGGAGACUGGAAUUCCUGGUGUAGCGGUGAAAUGCGCAGAUAUCAGGAGGAACACCGGUGGCGAAGGCGGGUCUCUGGGCUAUUACUGACACUGAGGAGCGAAAGCGUGGGGAGCAAACAGG
Molecule: ribosomal RNA, 253 nt
Filed under: uncultured bacterium
Lineage: Bacteria
Description: partial 16S ribosomal RNA
Rfam family: Bacterial small subunit ribosomal RNA
Source: RNAcentral